Molecule: ribosomal RNA, 84 nt
Filed under: Crataegus okennonii
Lineage: Eukaryota; Viridiplantae; Streptophyta; Magnoliopsida; Rosales; Rosaceae
Description: partial 5.8S ribosomal RNA
Rfam family: 5.8S ribosomal RNA
About the family: 5.8S ribosomal RNA (5.8S rRNA) is a component of the large subunit of the eukaryotic ribosome.
Source: RNAcentral
UGCAGAAUCCCGUGAACCAUCGAGUCUUUGAACGCAAGUUGCGCCAGAAGCCGCCAGGCCGAGGGCACGCCUGCCUGGGCGUCA